CCUCUCGAAGAUGAUGAAUUGGUGGAGUACAUCCUCACCGGGCUGGAUGACGAGUACGACUCGCUGGUCUCCGCUGUUCUUGCCUGAUCUGAUCCAAUCUCAGUAAGCGAGUUGUACUCCUAGAUGCUUGCCUUUGAGA
RNAcentral lists this small nucleolar RNA (139 nucleotides) under Dichanthelium oligosanthes. RNAcentral's name for it is "Small nucleolar RNA Z247". It matches the Rfam family "Small nucleolar RNA Z247". From Rfam's summary of the family: Z247 is a member of the C/D class of snoRNA which contain the C (UGAUGA) and D (CUGA) box motifs. Most of the members of the box C/D family function in directing site-specific 2'-O-methylation of substrate RNAs. The record is from Rfam by way of RNAcentral. Lineage: Eukaryota; Viridiplantae; Streptophyta; Magnoliopsida; Poales; Poaceae.